AGAGUUUGAUCAUGGCUCAGGAUGAACGCUAGCUACAGGCUUAACACAUGCAAGUCGAGGGGCAGCAUGGUCUUAGCUUGCUAAGGCUGAUGGCGACCGGCGCACGGGUGAGUAACACGUAUCCAACCUGCCGUCUACUCUUGGCCAGCCUUCUGAAAGGAAGAUUAAUCCAGGAUGGGAUCAUGAGUUCACAUGUCCGCAUGAUUAAAGGUAUUUUCCGGUAGACGAUGGGGAUGCGUUCCAUUAGAUAGUAGGCGGGGUAACGGCCACCUAGUCAACGAUGGAUAGGGGUUCUGAGAGGAAGGUCCCCCANAUUGGAACUGAGACACGGUCCAAACUCCGUACGGGAGGCA
Molecule: ribosomal RNA, 353 nt
Filed under: uncultured bacterium
Lineage: Bacteria
Description: bacterial SSU rRNA
Rfam family: Bacterial small subunit ribosomal RNA
Source: RNAcentral